Long non-coding RNA from Amphimedon queenslandica, 250 nucleotides. RefSeq lists it as uncharacterized. The transcript has 3 exons. Lineage: Eukaryota; Metazoa; Porifera; Demospongiae; Haplosclerida; Niphatidae. The record is from RefSeq and is a predicted model, not a curated record.
ACGUGAUGGAAUUUCAAGGACUAGACAAGGAGAGACUAGACUAGGCGAGCGAGCGAGACUAGGGUACUGGGUACUCAGACUACUCACUGAGUCUGAGUUGAUAUUGAAGGUAAAGUGGACUCUGGAAGAACUCGUCAAGAAUUAAUUACUAAAAGAGUCAACUCCAACAUGCUACGUAUGCCUCUACGUGUUUUUACCCUGGCCAAAGCAAGGCAGCAAGAGUUGGCUAACAUAUCAUAUGGAGGACAUA